UGCAUUGUUUUAGGUGCCAAUUCUAGAAGUUUUUAGGAGGGAGUUUUUGAAUUUGUGUAGCUUGCAUUUCAGCACCUUAGGCUAUAAAUAGAGGUGCUCCCUUUGUAUUUUUCAGAAUUGAAAUUGGAGUAAAGAAACUAUACUCAAUUUUUGAGUGAGCAUUGGAGAGCUUUUGAGCCUUCUUCUCUAGUCUUAUCUUGAAGGAUCCAUGGUGUCCUCAAGUGGCGGCAGCACACUCAUCUAGGAGCAACCAACCUUCUAGUGGCGUGAUCACUCACCUUCUCUUCCAUCUCCAUAAGCUUUUCUCUUCUCCUUCCUUCCUACUCUUUCAAUUGUUCAUGUUUAGCUUGUGUUCUUGAGUUUUGGUUUGGUUAU
Molecule: long non-coding RNA, 375 nt
Filed under: Phaseolus vulgaris (common bean)
Lineage: Eukaryota; Viridiplantae; Streptophyta; Magnoliopsida; Fabales; Fabaceae
Description: long non-coding RNA (PVUL_LNC000657)
Source: RNAcentral